CCUGACUGCUAUCGGAUUGAUACUAAGCCAUGCGAGUCAUUGUAGCAAUACAAGGCAGACGGCUCAGUAACGCGUAGUCAAUCUACCCUAUGGACGGGAAUAACCUCGGGAAACUGAGAAUAAUGCCCGAUAGAACAUUAUGCCUGGAAUGGUUUAUGUUUCAAAUGAUUUAUCGCCAUAGGAUGGGACUGCGGCCUAUCAGUUUGUUGGUGAGGUAAUGGCCCACCAAGACUAUUACAGGUACGGGCUCUGAGAGGAGUAGCCCGGAGAUGGGUACUGAGACACGGACCCAGGCCCUAUGGGGCGCAGCAGGCGAGAAAACUUUGCAAUGUGCGAAAGCACGACAAGGUUAAUCCGAGUGGUUUCUGCUAAAGAAACCUUUUGUCAGUCCUAGAAACACUAACGAAUAAGGGGUGGGCAAGUUCUGGUGUCAGCCGCCGCGGUAAAACCAGCACCUCAAGUGGUCAGGAUGAUUAUUGGGCCUAAAGCAUCCGUAGCUCGUUUUGUAAGUUUUCGGUUAAAUCCAUGCGCUUAACGUAUGGGCUGCCGGGAAUACUGCAUAACUAGGGAGUGGGAGAGGUAGACGGUACUCGGGAGGAAGGGGUAAAAUCCUUUGAUCUCUUGAUGACCACCUGUGGCGAAGGCGGUCUACCAGAACACGUUCGACGGUGAGGGAUGAAAGCUGGGGGAGCAAACCGGAUUAGAUACCCGGGUAGUCCCAGCUGUAAACUAUGCAAACUCAGUGAUGCAUUGGCUUAUGGCCAAUGCAGUGCUGCAGGGAAGCCGUUAAGUUUGCCGCCUGGGAAGUACGUACGCAAGUAUGAAACUUAAAGGAAUUGGCGGGGGAGCACCACAAGGGGUGAAGCCUGCGGUUCAAUUGGAUCAACGCCGGAAA
This 895-nucleotide ribosomal RNA is filed under the name uncultured archaeon. RNAcentral describes it as "bacterial SSU rRNA". It matches the Rfam family "Archaeal small subunit ribosomal RNA", at positions 21 to 924 of the family's 1478-position model. The record is from RNAcentral.